AACGAACGCUGGCGGCGCGCCUAAUACAUGCAAGUCGAGCGAGAAGACGUAGCAAUACGUUUGUAAAGCGGCGAACGGGUGAGGAAUACAUGGGUAACCUACCCUCGAGUGGGGAAUAACUAGCCGAAAGGUUAGCUAAUACCGCGUACGCUCCUUGGACUUCGGUUCAGGGAGGAAAGCGAUACCGUGGGUAUCGCGCUCUUGGAUGGGCUCAUGUCCUAUCAGCUUGUUGGGAGGUACGGCUCACCAAGCUUCGACGGUAGCUGGUCUGAGAGGACGAUCAGCCACACUGGCACUGCGACGACGGGCCAGA
This 313-nucleotide ribosomal RNA is filed under the name uncultured bacterium. RNAcentral's name for it is "bacterial SSU rRNA". It matches the Rfam family "Bacterial small subunit ribosomal RNA", at positions 29 to 335 of the family's 1533-position model. The record is from RNAcentral.